Solanum pennellii is the source of this 2493-nucleotide long non-coding RNA. RefSeq lists it as uncharacterized. Lineage: Eukaryota; Viridiplantae; Streptophyta; Magnoliopsida; Solanales; Solanaceae. The record is from RefSeq and is a predicted model, not a curated record. The transcript is spliced from 5 exons.
UCUUUCAUUCCUGACUAAACAUAAAUAAUCCACCACUUUGAUAAUAUCUAGAGCCAUUAUUCUGCCACAUUUGUUCACUAUGUACUAUGCUACUAAUUCUCGCUCUUCGUCUUCUUCAUUCUUAUUCCCUUGAAUUCAAAGUUUUCUUCCUGUGCGAAAAUGAUUUAGAUGGCAAAGAGGCCAGGAAAAGAUUGUCAAUUUUAGAGUUUGAAACGGCACAUGCAAUUUGGAGGAAGGAAGAAGAUUCUGAAAAGAGUAAUAGCGGGAAGUUCUUAAUGUUGAAAACAUGAAAUUGGUCUUUUAAACAAAGGGGACGAGGAGCCUAUUCUAUUUUGUAACUUGCGAGCAGGGCUCAUUUGUGUGGUUUAAGAGUGUGAUGGAUGAGUCCCAAAGAACGAUCAAGAAUCCCUAAUUCAGCUUCAUAACUACUGCACCAACGUAUAUAAUAAAGUUGAUUCAUGAUCUGCACUAAUUACUAUGCUUCAAGCAUCCAACAAGCUAAAAAUGGUGUUGACAUAGUCUCUGGAGCAAGUGUGAAGACUCAUUUUGUUGGAUCAAAGUGGCGCCAAGUUUUCAAACACAUUGCAAUUAAUCAUCUAGAUUAAAAGAAUUGGUUAGUACUUAUCUAGCAUAUUUACUCAUUAUUCAUUCUUAUUAAUAAAUUUUUGUUUUAGAGUUUAUUGAAAACGCCUUUCCACCUCACAAGGUAUUAAACUGGGUACACUAUUGUCGUCAUCAAAUUAUAAGUAAUAUUUUGCUCCUUUUUAAAAAAAUUUAUUUUUGAAUUUAUGCAUAUGUCAGUAUCUUUUAUUGUGGUCCAUAAGAUCUGAUUGAAGAGCUAAGACAUCUGUCCCAAGAUUUCUCACGCACGACAGGCAUAAGCUUGAAUUUCAUAAAGAAAAUUUCUAAGGUUCAAACUUGUUUUAUUAUAUACUUUUGAGAUACAUGCUUAGCUUGACUUCAAUUAACAAGGGAUGGUGUUGGAAAGUAAAAUACAUUGUUAGCUAUAUAAAGCUCUAACCUGUAAAGUCAUUACUGAGAACUCAAAUCUCUUUAAAGUUGCUUUAAUAGCUUCCAUAAUUAUCCCUUUAAGAAUAAAAGGGAUACAGAUGAUAUAUAUCAAAUGAGCAGGGUAAUUGACAUUACCCUUAUUUUUUAACCAAAUUUUUUUUGGAGUGCUUUUGUUUAGUUAAAUGUGAUUCAACUCUAGCUGCACAUUUGUUUUAAUUGAGGUAUACUCUAAGUUGAGUAGUGGCUAAACCAAAGUAAAAUGAUAACUCUGUGAGUAAAAUGUUGUUUGCAUCACAAUUUGAUGGAAUCUGGAGCUACUGAUGCAUCUUGAUAAGUGUAUGUGAUCCGUGCAAUUACUGUCCAUUCUUCAUUAAAUUGUAGGAAAAAAUGAAUGAGAAGCGUGACAUAUGCGCAUCUGGCAUUGCUCCUAAAUGGACUAAUGCAUAUUUAAAGAUUAUACAUUAGCUCCAUGAAAGAUAUUAUUUAUAGAGAAGACAUGCGUGAUAGCAGCUAGGUUAUUCUCUUUUUGAUGUUGUGGUCUUUAUGAACUGAUGACUAUAAUGAAGAAAAGUAGAGGGAAUAUGUAGUAAAAUGUUCAACUGCUCCUGGUUUAUACUGUAUUGACUGUUUUGGAGCUUUUAAAUGGUGCACAAAAAUCUUCUCAGGUUGUUCUCGAUUUUGCAGGGUAAUAACAUCUAUAAGAUUAAUUCAAAUGGGUCUAUUUCAUUGCCAUUGACACUUUUCUUUCUUUCAUCUUCCUAAUUCCUCAAGUGAGCUCCAUGCCAGUCUGACUAAGGUAAGGGGGAAGACCUCAUUUCGUCAAUCAUAUCUAUUCGUCUUAGUCCUGAGGCUUCAGUGAUUCAAUCCGACAUUUCAUUUCACCCUUCAUCAUUUGAUUAUUCUCAUCUAAGAGCUGAUCUUGCAAAAGGAGUACAGUGCGAUAACAAGUGAAAAUCGGCAAACAAAUUGCCGUCUCAGGUGUUUAAAGUUGAAGAAACCAUUGGGCGUCUAACAACAACUGCUCUUUCCCUACUACUUCUGCAAGAGAAUGUAUCUUGCAGGACUAGCUGAUGCCUACCACCUCUUUAUGCAACGUUGAAUCAUUGUUGGACUUGCUGAUGCCGAUCACCUCUUUGUGCAAAGUCGAAUUAUUUUUUCCCUUGGAUUUAUUCGUGUUCCUACAGUGGAACCUUGAACAGAAUUUCAAGCAGCAAGGAGAAAAGUAGAGUCAUUAGAUACCCCUACUAUGUUUGCCGCUCUUGCCAUGAGGACAAACAUCGAACAUAUACCUUGCAAAGACGCUAUGAGAGAAUGAAGACAUUUUAAACAUCAUAUAAGUUGCUUGUGUUAAAGUUCAAUUACUCAAUUUGUAUUGUAUAAUCUUUAUGUUAUUGAUAGCAAUGAUUUAUUAACUAUGCUAUUGGGAAGUUGUAUUCAAAUUGUAAAAAUUAAUGUAGUGUUAUACCAAUUUCUUUCCUUUUU